AGCUGUCACAAUGCAAACAACGCUAUCAAGAUCUCCAGGAGAAGCUGCUGCUAUCAGAAGCCACUGUCUUUGCUCAGGCGAACGAGCUGGAGAAAUAGAGAGUUAUACUUAGUGAACCCUUGCUGAAGCAGGACAGUAAACAGGUCCAGGUGGACCUCCAGGACCUGGGCCACGAGACUUGUGGCCAAAGCAAGAAUGAGGCUGAACAGGAGGAAACCACCAGUCCCGGAAAUAUGAUUCCCUGAUUCAGGAUCAGGCCCGGGAACUGUCUUACCUACGGCAAAAAAUAGGAGAAGGGAGAGGUGUUUGUUAUCUUCUCACCCAGCAUGCAAAAGAUACAGUAAAAUCUUUUGAGGAUCUCCUAAGGAGCAAUGACAUUGACUACUACCUGGGACAGAGCUUCCGGGAGCAACUGGCCCAGGGAAGCCAGCUGACAGAGAGGCUCACCAGCACACUCAGCACCAGAUCAAGACUGCUCAAUGGGACUCCUAGCCCUGACACACAGCUGGGACUCUCAGGUCCGACCAGCGGUCCUGAACCCGCUCCCACGGCACGGGAACUCCUUCGUGGUGAAGCAGCAGCCCCUGCGCUGGCUCAUCUACAUAGAAGUCGCCCUAUCUGUGAUGUCACCGACAGUGCCUUUCCCAGUCCCCGUCUGCCUUUCUGCCGCUCAGCCGACCAACCCGCUGCUGGAGCCGGCAAGGGGAAGUGACGUCUGCCUCUCCCUUUUUUCUCUCCUGCUUCCCUCAUCUGUUCUCUCCCAAAGAAGCUGGUCCUUAGCCUGUAUUGCGGAGCAAGCUUUCGGCGACCAGCUGGACCCUGGGCACCCUUCUUCGAACAAUGGCUUUUAAUUCUCAGACUAGAACAUUUAGGAUUACAAAAGAAACUGGUUCUUUUCACAUCCUUAUCCUUGUGAUGUAGCAUUCCGCAUAUAUAUAUAUAUAUCCAACUAUCCUAAAAGACACUGCCCUUCAUCAUUCCAUGCCGUUAGACAUUUAUAGGACCAUGCAUGGUGAUCUCCUCCAGACAAAAGUAAAUGCUGGUGCAGAGCAGGUAAGUGUACUAUAAUUUGAGUACUUCAGCUUUUGGGCAUUUUAAACCAUGGGUCAGACAAGUUAGAGCAAGAGGGCAGGUUGAUAGCAAGAGGGAGUGUUUUUCUUUUAAUUUCCUUUUUUUUUUUUUUUUUUUUUUUUGAGACGGAGUCUCGCGCUCUUCGCUCAGGCUGGAGUGCAGUGGGGCUAUCUCGGCUCACUGCAAGCUCCGCCUCCCGGGUUCACACCAUUCUCCUGCCUCAGCCUCCCCAGUAGCUGGGAUUACAGGCACCCGCCACCACGUCCAGCUAAUUUUUUGUAUUUUUAGUAGAGUUGGGGUUUCACUCUGUUAGCCAGGAUGGUCUCGAUCUCCUGACCUUGUGAUCCGCCCACCUCGGCCUCCCAAAGUGCUGGGAUUACAGGCGUGAGCCACCGCGCCCGGCUUCUUUUAAUUUUCAAAUAGCAAAGUGAUGUUUGCCACUGUCAUUUCAGAAUGAGGUGACAAUUUGUUGUUGUUUGGUUUUGUGGGGUUUUUUGUUUGUUUGUUUGUUUCUGAGACAAGGUCUCACUGUCGCCCAGGUUGGAGUACAGUGGCAUGAUCAGGGUUUACUUCUGCCUUGACCUCAUGAAUUCAAGCAAACCUCCUUACUAAUCCUCCCAAGUAGCUGGGACUACAGGUGCAUGACACCACACCCUGGGGUGUGAACUGGGAUUUGAUGUUUUCAGUUGGCUCCCUGAUGGAAUAGGUUCCCUUACUAUUCUGGAAUACAGAUUGUCUUCAUGAUUAUGAUUCAUAAUCAUAAUGAUUAUGACAGCAGUCCCUGCUGUCAGGCAGGGACGUUUAAGUCUGCAGAAGCUGUCUGCUGCCUUUUAUUCAGAUAUGCCCUGCCCCCAGAGGUAGAAUCUAGAGGCAGUAGGCCUUGCUGAGCUGCAGUGGGCUCUACCCAGUUCGAGCUUCCCUACCACUUUAUUUACACUGUGACCAUAGAACCACAUACUCAAGCCUCAGCAGUGGCAGAACCCCCUCCCCCUGCCAUGCUCCAGUGUCACAGGUUGAUCUCAGACUGCUGUGCUAGCAGCAGGCAAGGCUCCAUGGGCAUGGGACCUGCCGAGCCAGGCACAAGAGGGAAUCUCCUGUUCUGUCGGUUGCAAAGACAGUGGAAAACACAGUAUUUGGGCAGGGGUGUACUGCUCCUCGAGGUACAGUCACUCACAGCUUCCCUUGGCUAGGAAAAAGAAAUCCCCCAACCCCUUGCACUUCCCGGGUGAGGCGACACCCCACCCUGCUUUGGCUCAUCCUCCGUGGGCUGCAUCCACUGUCCAACAAGUCCCAGUGAGAUGAACCAGGUACCUCAGUUGGAAAUGCAGAAAUCACCUGUCUUCUGUGUCUAUCUCACCUGAAGCUGUAGACCGGAGCUGUUCCUAUUCAGCCAUCUUAGAAGCAACCCUCUUUUUCUUUUUGUAUUUUGGUAGAGACAGGGUUUCACCAUAUUGCCCAGGCUGGUUUCAAACUCCUGUGGUCAAGCCAUUCUAUAAAACAAACUUAUAUUUGUUUUAUCUGAGUUCCUUCCUCAGGAAAGGACUCUCAGGCCUCUCAAAAAGCAUCAGAGACCUGAAACUCAGCCAAUCACAGCAUCCAGACAAUGAGAUGCCAGUCCCCUCACUCAUCACGAGUGCUUCCUCAGCCCUCCCUAGUUCCUCUUUUCCCACACACAGUUAACUUUUCUUCUGCGCUAUAUAAACCCCUAACUUUAGUCAAUCAGGGAGACAGAUUUGAGACUCAUCUCCUGUCUACUCAGCUGCAGCACCUGAUUAAAGCCUUCUUCCUCAGCAAUACUCAAUGUCUCAAUGAUUGGCUUUCUGUGUGCUGAGAACACUGAAGCCCUGUGGUUUUGGUAAAAAUACAUGUACCCUUUAAAAAACCGCAAUUAAUGGGUUGUGGUAUAUUGAGAAAUUGGAGUGGCAUCAACUUGGCCAAUUCUGAGGAAACACACUGUGCUUAAGUGUCAGGGCCCUGCCUCCUGACCUCGACAGUUUAUGGUUGAUUUUGAGGCACAGCAGGGGAGUAUGGCCUGGUUUGAGUGUUUUAUAGAAAUGUAAAACAUGGCUGAUUACUUUUUAUUUUAAAUCCAACAAAUCUCCAUUUCUGGUGAGAAAAUCUUGCCAAAACCAACCAAACAAAUGCAUAGAAGUAUAUGAAGAAGAAAAUGAAAGAUUCCCUGCCUCCCAAUCCCACUUGCUUGGUGUCAGCCAUUAUUUAUCACAUGGAGGAAGGGGGCAAGACACCCAAGAAGUCCCAAGUCCUGUUCUCACAAUCAUCUGGCCUCCCUGGGCAAAGGGAAAAGAGGGAAGGCAAAAAGAAUAUAACACUACUGUUUGCGGAAAUUUCCCCUUGGUACAGGAAACUCUGGUAAACUGAGAGAGUAUGUUUUCCAGAGGGAGGCCUCAGGGGCUCUUCUCUGGCCCUAAGCCCAAACUGGAUUUUGCCUCAUUUUCUGAGGUGCAAAUGAAAUGAUAAAAGUUGAUCAAAGGAGAGGGCAGAGAGAAAGAAAGAGGAUGACUCCUCUCUCGCAGGUCCACCUUCUUUGGUGUUGCUUGAGGGAUCAGAAGAAAUGCCUUAACAUAGGUGUGUGGGAACUAUGGCUGCUAAGUAUGAACUCAGUUACCUCCAGUUAUAAGCUAGUGUGAGGUUCCAUGGUGAGCACUUUGGACUCUGAAUUCAGUGAUCAGAGUUCAAGUCUCACUGGUACCUUUCUGUAUAAUUCCAGUGAGGUUCCUCUCUAUUGCUCCAUAAGCAGAAUGGGGGAAAUUGCCCAAUCGUGGUCACAGACCCUCCAUGCCACUGGCUGUAUGCAAUUGGAGUCCCGGACCCAGCGACCAGCAAGACCCCUCCCCUCUCAGGGUGACCCUGGGCCUCCAGGUCACAGGUCUCCACUAAAAAUGCUGCCUCCCCUCAAUCCUAGACCCCGAGUUUUCUUUUGUUCACGUCAUUGGGCCAUUGCCCUAUGUCUCUUUGGAAGAAAUGACCUAUAUGAAAAAUUUUACUUCCAGGAUUCCCUAAUUCUUUCAUCCCUUAGGACAGUGCAGUUUUUCAUCUCCUGAUCUUGGGUCCGGUACUAAUGCGCGCGUUUCAUCUUGUUUUCAUGGGAUCCCCUCCAACCGGCUACCAGUGGAUUUCUGUUCUUGGGGUCUCUGUGGAUGACAACUAGAUGCUGCUCUUGUCCCAAAUCCUGACACCUCCCUCCAGGGAAUUGCCUCCCUUAGCCUCCUAAAUCAGCCAAUAUUUAGAUUUGAGCCUGGAAUCCCAGCAUCUGUGGAGAACAGAGGCUCCUGAUCCCUGGCCAGCCUCCCGCAGUGAAGGGGAGAGGAGCAGAGCAGCUGGGAGGGGCAAGUCCGGGGCCCUGGGCAACCCCCUUCUUCCUGCCCAGACUCUGCUCCAAAGAGAAGUUGCCUUAGGACCAGAUCAGAUGGAAACUCUUGUUCUCUUCUCAUCAGCAGAAAAAUUUAGGCAAGAGCUCUGGAGGACUUUCCUAGCUCAUAAAAAUGCUGUGGUCAAGUCUCUCCAGUUUUGGAAAUGCCCAAGGUUACCAAGUGUUUUGAGGGCUCACUUUGGAGCCUCUGAAAAGGACGGGUGAGGGCCCAUGGGAAGGUACCUGAGGGAUUCAGGAGAGAGAGGGGAAAGAGCAGACAGGAGGGAGGAGAGAAGGAGGGAGGGGGAGAAAGGGUGUGUGAGGGCCAGGAGCCAGGAUUCACCCUGACAGUUCAGUGACUGCUCCCUGACCCCAAGGUUCCCACUGUGGCACCUUCCAGCAGGUGGUUUCCAUCUCUUAUUGAUGUCCUGAGAACUUGGCUCUACAGAAUGGUCCCACCCUAUUUGUCUGGCAUGAGUCCUGCAAAGUUUCUUUUCAUCGUUUGGGGGAUGAGAUGGGGGUAUAUAGGCUUGCAAGUGACUAGGAGCUAAGUCAGGACCUUGUGGAGCCACUCAGAGUUAACUGUCAAGUAGCCUCCCUUCCCCCUUCGCUUGCAGGACGAUUGCCUGCAAGACAGGGCCUGGAGGCCAGGGCACCCAAGGCCACAGAAAUGCCCAGGGAUGAGUCCUGGCUGGAGAUGCCUUGGCUAAGCUGACUGUGCACUUCCAGGGCUCACAGGAGUCUGGCCGGGAGACUGAGCAAGGGGACCAGGGAGGUUGUGUAGCAGGCUUCUGCACAGCAAGGCAGACAUUCUUCUUGGAGCCCCCAACCCAAAUCAGGUCUUCCACCUCCUCUUCCUAAAGACCCUUUACUGCUGUCAUUCUUUUACUGAACUACAAGUUUAGAGGACAUGGAUUUCAGUGCCCUCAUCUGGCCAACCAUCUUCAGCCGCCAAUGGGCAAGGUAACCUCCCUCCCUGCCAAGACCUGACUCAGGACCUUUCCUUAAGGAGAUGUCCUGUUCUUUCUUUCCCACCAGAACUGCCCUGGCCCAGGCCCCAUUUCUGUCUGGUGACCAGGACAGUCCCCUCACCAGUCUCCCAGGUUGGGGAGGGCAGAUCCUCCUCAGCUCCCUGCCCCUGAGAGACCCCAACCGUCUUGUGUGGCUCCGGCCCACAGAGUGAUAUCCAUGGCCCAUAUCUCUCAAAACUCUCCCCUCCCACUCUGAAUCCACCCUCUACUGCAUGCUCCCCUCACAGAACAGACUAAUUUUUGUGUGUGUGUCCUUGUUUUGCCUACCUGUACCCCAGACAGACUUUUCUGUCUUAGAACUACCUGUCCCUCUUUGGACAGUGUCUUCCUGGUACUACACAUGAAGAUGUCCCGCUCUCCACUGCUCAAGGAGAGAGUGCCUGACCUGAGCUGGGCCCAUCAGAUCCAGUACUUACCUGGAAUAGGAAAAAGAUGGGGAGAGUGACCAAAGAUUACAAAAAUCUCUGAAGCUUAUCCACUUGAGAGAGAGUCCCUGAAGAUACUGGCCUCUCAUUCCUGCUAUGUAUGUCCAAUGUGACUGAACUCUGAAUAAAAUAUACAAGUUAUAACAAUGUAGCAAUUGACCCAGCAAACGAGGACACAAACGUGUUGGAGGGAUUUGAGUUUGAUGUCAUGCAUAUAAUGUGAUCCCACUGUAUGACUACACAAAUGUUGGCAAAAGUGAGUUCAGAGGAAAUGGUAGGCAAGUACUUCCCAGUUUUGACCAGAAGAUGGAGAAAAAAAGAAUUCUCAAAAAAUGUUAAAGGUGUCUACGGAGAAAUAGACAAGCGAUGCACGACAGAUACAUGUGUCAGUCUGGUCCCUGCAGUUGUAUUUGUAAUAAUACACAUUGGAGCAAUUUCAUGGCCAUCGGUUAGAGAAUGUUUGAGGAAUGAUCCAUUCAUAUCAAGAAGGACAUUUCAAAGAUCAAAGCCUGAUGGAAAUGCUGGAGACCAUGGCGCUGAUAGGAGCUCAUGCGUGUUGACCAAUUACUACGUGACAGGCAUUGGCUCCAGGCUUUUCCUGCACUGCUCAUUUAAACACUGGACAACCUAAGUGUUCUGAUUUAGCCCAUUGGACAGAUAGAAAUGGAGGCACAGAAGAUUAAUGUGUUUAACUUCAAACGCUGGCAGAUUAGGUUUUUCAUCCAGGGCCUGUGGCUUCACCAUAGGUGUGAUUCAUGUUCUGUCAUUCUCCACUUUAGGAAUUUCCAGUAUUCCAAAUAUGAGAAGCUGAGAAAACAAACAACAGACUCAAAACCCUAAAAACCAGGAUACGUAAGGGUAGAUGUUUGUUGGGUGUGGAUUAAAAAUGGACUUUUUUUGCCCCAAGCAACAAAGAGGCAUCUUAGAGAAUGGACAAGAGACAAGAAGAAGAGAAGCUUUAAGAGAUAUUUGGUCCAAGGAAGAGACUCUUCAGAUGGAAGGUCACAUCAGCUAGAAACAUUAAUAUGACUGGAUGGGCUCAAACCACUGACUUUUCAGUCAACAUCCGACAGCACUAACCUAGUGUUCCAGAGACCCUGCUUGUUAAACAGUGAAAGCUGUUGCUCAAUUGUGUCAUCCAUAAUUGUCAAAUAUUGCCAUUUAGUAGCACAAGGAAGUAUUCUCUGUUGCCAAGCUAGAGUACCCAUAACUCUUCUGUUUUGUUGAACAUUCUUCCCCACCACAAACCCUCUUUAGAAGACUGGGGGCUCCUAAAGCAUUGAGGCCGAGAGUCCCGUCCUUGUGCAUGUUUGGGCAUUGACCCAGGGCCAAGUGAGUGGGAGACCCCUCCACGCCUACGCCAGGUCCUCAGGUGACAACUGCAGUCUCUGGAUCUGAAGUCAUCCACUUUCCCAUUCCUAGCUCACCUCACCCAUCGUGAAGCCUGGAUUUCCUUUUUAUCACUGGUUUUGAUGGAUUCGAUUAAGGUGUUCCUUGUUGAAGUUUUCUGCAUGUUUCUUGUUCUUGGGAUAAUCAUAUUUCUGUAAUAUUUGAAGUUUAUGAUUUCCAUGGAGCUUCUAAAUCUUUCAUCCAGUAUGUUUUAAAUAUCUUUGUCUCUCUUCUCCACUACCUGCCCUUCAGGGAUUCCAUUUAGCCCUAUACUAGGGUGUUUAAAGUUUUGAUGCUGAUGGUCUUUAUGUGUUUUCAAGUCAUUUGUUAAUGUGUGUUUCAUUUAUGUUAGUUUCAACUUCUAUUCCUUCUAGUUUAAUAAUCUUCUCUUCUGCAAUAUUUAAUCCAGUGCCUUCUUCCAUUUCACACUGUAAAUCAUAGUUUUUAUCUACAGAAUUUGAUAUUUAAAAAAUCUUCAACCUCUCCAUUUAAUUAAAAUACAAUUAUACUAAUUGCGGUAACGUCCUUUUCUUCUAUUUCCAACGUGUGUGUCAAUUUCAACCAGAUUAUUAGAUUCUUCAGUAUGUGUCAUGUUUUCCUGCUUCUUUGACUGCUUGAUAUUCUUUUA
Homo sapiens (human) is the source of this 7914-nucleotide long non-coding RNA. RefSeq lists it as uncharacterized. NCBI's taxonomy places the organism in Eukaryota, Metazoa, Chordata, Mammalia, Primates, Hominidae. The transcript is spliced from 7 exons. The record is from RefSeq and is a predicted model, not a curated record.